Molecule: transfer RNA, 76 nt
Filed under: Bacillota bacterium
Lineage: Bacteria; Bacillati; Bacillota
Also listed under: 2 other names
Description: tRNA-Arg
Rfam family: tRNA
About the family: Transfer RNA (tRNA) molecules are approximately 80 nucleotides in length. Their secondary structure includes four short double-helical elements and three loops (D, anti-codon, and T loops).
Source: RNAcentral
GUCCCGGUAGCUCAGCGGACAGAGCGGCGGCCUUCUAAGCCGACGGCCGGGGGUUCGAAUCCCUCCCGGGACGCCA